AGCAGCCGCGGUAAUUCCAGCUCCAAUAGCGUAUAUUAAAGUUGUUGCAGUUAAAAAGCUCGUAGUUGAAUUUCGGGGUCAGUAGGUUGGUCAUGCCACAGGUAUGUACUGAUCUUACUGAUUCCUCCUUCCUGAUGAACCGUAAUGCCAUUAAUUUGGUGUUGCGGGGAAACUGGACUGUUACUUUGAAAAAAUUAGAGUGUUUAAAGCAGGCUAACGCUUGAAUACAUUAGCAUGGAAUAAUGAAAUAGGACGUUCGAUCCUAUUUUGUUGGUUUCUAGGAUUGACGUAAUGAUUAAUAGGGAUAGUUGGGGGCAUUAGUAUUCAAUUGUCAGAGGUGAAAUUCUUGGAUUUAUUGAAGACUAACUACUGCGAAAGCAUUUGCCAAGGAUGUUUUCAUUAAUCAAGAACGAAAGUUAGGGGAUCGAAGACGAUCAGAUACCGUCGUAGUCUUAACCAUAAACUAUGCCGACUAGGGAUCGGAUGAUGUUAAUUUUAUAAUGACUCA
This 508-nucleotide ribosomal RNA is filed under the name uncultured Glomus. RNAcentral describes it as "SSU rRNA". It matches the Rfam family "Eukaryotic small subunit ribosomal RNA", at positions 569 to 1078 of the family's 1831-position model. The record is from RNAcentral. Lineage: Eukaryota; Fungi; Glomeromycota; Glomeromycetes; Glomerales; Glomeraceae.